This 468-nucleotide ribosomal RNA is filed under the name uncultured bacterium. RNAcentral's name for it is "partial 16S ribosomal RNA". It matches the Rfam family "Bacterial small subunit ribosomal RNA", at positions 28 to 507 of the family's 1533-position model. The record is from RNAcentral.
GACGAACGCUGGCGGCGUGCUUAACACAUGCAAGUCGAACGGAAAGGCCUUGCUUGUGUGGGGGGCUCGAGUGGCGAACGUGUGAGUAACGCGUGAGUAACCCGUCCUUUACUUUGGUAUAACUUCAAGAAACUGGGGCUAAUACCGGAUGACAACUCCUCCCGCGUGGUGGGGGUUGGAAAGGUUCGGCGGUUGGGGAUGGACUCGCGGCUUAUCAGCUUGUUGGUGGGGUGGUGGCGUACCAAGGCUUUGACGGGUAGCCGGCCUGAGAGGGUGACCGGCCACAUUGGGACUGAGAUACGGCCCAGACUCCUACGGGAGGCAGCAGUGGGGAAUAUUGCACAAUGGGCGGAAGCCUGAUGCAGCAACGCCGCGUGCGGGAUGACGGCCUUCGGGUUGUAAACCGCUUUCGCCUGUGACGAAGCGUGAGUGACGGUAAUGGGUAAAGAAGCACCGGCUAACUACGUG